This is a long non-coding RNA of Sebastes umbrosus (honeycomb rockfish), 181 nucleotides long. RefSeq lists it as uncharacterized. The record is from RefSeq and is a predicted model, not a curated record. Lineage: Eukaryota; Metazoa; Chordata; Actinopteri; Perciformes; Sebastidae. The transcript is spliced from 4 exons.
UCCCGUCCUCUUCCCUCUCUGAUCACCUGGCUCUCUUCCUCUGCUGUCUCAUCCAGACCGCUCAAAGACAGGGUCGCUAAGAAAAUAAACGCAGAAAGCCCUACUUUAUUCUGAAACCCACGUUAUAGCGUUUGUUUACGUAACUUGCCGGUAGCAUCAACUAGCUCAACAUCAGCAAACA